AUUGAACGCUGGCGGCAGGCCUAACACAUGCAAGUCGAGCGGCUGCGGGACCUUCGGGUUGCCGGCGAGCGGCGGACGGGUGAGUAAUGCCUAGGAAUCUGCCUGUUAGUGGGGGAUAACGCGGGGAAACUCGCGCUAAUACCGCAUACGUCCUACGGGAGAAAGCGGGGGCUCUUCGGAGCCUGCGCUAUCAGAUGAGCCUAGGUCGGAUUAGCUAGUUGGGGGGGUAAUGGCCCACCAAGGCGACGAUCCGUAACUGGUCUGAGAGGAUGGUCAGUCACACUGGAACUGAGACACGGUCCAGACUCCUACGGGAGGCAGCAGUGGGGAAUAUUGGAAAAUGGGCGAAAGCCUGAUCCAGCCAUGCCGCGUGUGUGAAGAAGGUCUUCGGAUUGUAAAGCACUUUAAGUCGGGAGGAAGGGCUGUAGGCUAAUACCUUGCAGUUUUGACGUUACCGACAGGAUAAGCACCGGAUAACUUCGUGCCAGCCGCCGCGGUAA
RNAcentral lists this ribosomal RNA (500 nucleotides) under uncultured bacterium. RNAcentral's name for it is "partial 16S ribosomal RNA". It matches the Rfam family "Bacterial small subunit ribosomal RNA", at positions 30 to 523 of the family's 1533-position model. The record is from RNAcentral.